This 1221-nucleotide ribosomal RNA is filed under the name Triticum aestivum (bread wheat). Its description in RNAcentral is "partial small subunit ribosomal RNA". Lineage: Eukaryota; Viridiplantae; Streptophyta; Magnoliopsida; Poales; Poaceae. The record is from RNAcentral.
AUGUGCUAUUUAUGUCAGACUGCACUGCUCAGUUACAAGAUAUGGUGCAUACAACCUGAUGGGAAGAUAUAUUCUGUUGGUGAAGUUAAUGUUUAUCUUUCACUUGAGCGGCUCAAGCUACCAGUGGUGGAACUUCAGUUCUCCACUCAGGGUGGCUAUCUUUCUGGUUAUAAAUAUUUUCCUAUGGAUCUUGAGUUGCCUUUUGAUCCAGGAGACCAUAAGUUACUGUGGGUUCUUCUUAACAUUAGUGGUGCAUCCAUUGGAUAUAUACAUCUGCACAAGAAUAGAGGAGCUUUGCCAUAUCAUUUGCCUUGGUGGUGUACAACGCUACAUCUCACGGUGGAAGUUAUGCAAGUUGACAGUCGGUGUUUUUCUCUGGUUGUAUGGCUCCUCGGCAUCAUUGGAGAGUUUGAUCUCACCACAGUAUGGUGUUUAUUGGAGGACAAUAUGUCAAGGAGGGCUACUACAACUGAUAAGAAAGUAAGCAAAGUGAUUGGUUACUAUAUUCUUGCUGGUUCUGAUAUUCCAAGUGAUGGAACCAUAUUCCACUCUCAGAAAGCAUUAUACAUGUUUCCUGAACCCAGCUUUGAAUGGACGCUCACGAAGUGGCAUAUAUUUGAGAUAAAUUCCAACACGAAUAUCUUUCCAACAGUUUCGGUUGGAAACAAUUGCACACCAGGGAGUUUCAUAGUUGUCAAGUAUACUCUGCUCCUACCACAUUCCAUUGGUGUUCAUGGAGGAAUUAUGUUACAUACUCAGAACAUGCAUGGUCACCCAGCUUGCUCAGACUACUUGGAAUAUGUAUGCACAUCAUAUUAUCUUGACCCGAGGGACAGAGAAGACAACUCGAUUUUUCCAUCAGAUAUGGCAGUGAUCUUUGCGCAGCUGAAGUGUGACCGCGCUAAUAUUUAUUGGAGUAGUUGGCAUCACAUGUUUGGGGUUGACUGGCCAAACUCCUUUCUGCAGCAACAGGUUAUUAAGCUCGUAGGAGGAGUACCCGAGAGACAAUCUCCAUGGGACCCACGUGGUGUCCACUUCAUCGACAUUAUUGGACUUCUCAGUAAGCUGCUAGUACCACGGGAUCCUGGUGGUUCACAUCAUCGGCUUGAGGACAAGCCGCAUUUUAAGGGGGCGAGAAUGUCAUGCCUUAGGGGCCAUGCCCCUUUUACUCUUCGUGGGACUUCUCUGGAAAAUGGGCUGUGGAGCUUGGGCUGGGCCUAG